GGGUUAAGUCCCAUAACGAGCGCAACCCUUACUGUUAGUUGCCAGCGGGUCAAGCCGGGAACUCUAACGGGACUGCCACCGUAAGGUGAGAGGAAGUGGGGAUGACGUCAAAUCAGCACGGCCCUUAUGUCCAGGGCUACACACGUGUUACAAUGGUCGGUACAAAGGGCAGCUACACCGCGAGGUGAUGCUAAUCUCUAAAGCCGGUCUCAGUUCGGAUCGAAGUCUGCAACCCGACUUCGUGAAGUUGGAUUCGCUAGUAAUCGCGCAUCAGCCAUGGCCGCGGUCGAAUACGUUCCCGGGCCUU
Molecule: ribosomal RNA, 307 nt
Filed under: uncultured Sphingobacteriales bacterium
Lineage: Bacteria; Pseudomonadati; Bacteroidota; Sphingobacteriia; Sphingobacteriales
Description: bacterial SSU rRNA
Rfam family: Bacterial small subunit ribosomal RNA
Source: RNAcentral